Molecule: long non-coding RNA, 479 nt
Filed under: Manihot esculenta (cassava)
Lineage: Eukaryota; Viridiplantae; Streptophyta; Magnoliopsida; Malpighiales; Euphorbiaceae
Description: long non-coding RNA (MESC_LNC002896)
Source: RNAcentral
CCCAAAAAAAUUAUUAUUUGAAUCUCGAAAACACUAAGCACUACUAAUCAAUCUACCGUCGUUGCCUUGACCAUAGCCGGCAAAAGUGGAAAGGAAAAGAUUAAUGGGAACAAGCAAAAUCUUGAUGCAUGUCUAAAAAAGGAGAAAGUGUAAAUAAUCUCAGGACUAAAUCGAAGUCGGGACAAAAGAAUGGACGAGAGGAAGCAUAGAUCAGAACACAACAAUGAAUCCAAACUAGAUCCGGUUAUGACCAAUUAUCUGCCCUCAACUGAUAGCCAAAACAACAAGAAGAAGCUGGAAUCUCCAACAAAACUACUACCACCGCAAAGAGAGGACAUGACAAAGCUCGUCAGGAGCGUUGAUCACUGAUCAUAGUGGCAAGAUGUUGAUGUUGUCACACAAGAACCCUCUCCCAAACAGAUUUCGAACGCCCCACGAAACAAAACCCACAAAAACCAAAGAUUAAAACAAUAAAAUCA